GUGUCAGCAGCCGCGGUAAUACAGAGGUCCCAAGCGUUGUUCGGAUUCACUGGGCGUAAAGGGUGCGUAGGCGGUCGGGUAAGUCUGACGUGAAAUCUCGCGGCUCAACCGCGAAACGGCGUCGGAUACUAUCUGGCUUGAGGAGUGGAGGGGAGACUGGAAUUCUCGGUGUAGCAGUGAAAUGCGUAGAUAUCGAGAGGAACACCAGUGGCGAAGGCGAGUCUCUGGACAUUUCCUGACGCUGAGGCACGAAAGCCAGGGGAGCAAACGGGAUUAGAUACCCCCGUAGUCC
Molecule: ribosomal RNA, 292 nt
Filed under: uncultured bacterium
Lineage: Bacteria
Description: partial 16S ribosomal RNA
Rfam family: Bacterial small subunit ribosomal RNA
Source: RNAcentral